AGAAAGCAGGGGACCUUCGGGCCUUGCGCUAUCAGAUGAGCCUAGGUCGGAUUAGCUAGUUGGUGAGGUAAUGGCUCACCAAGGCGACGAUCCGUAACUGGUCUGAGAGGAUGAUCAGUCACACUGGAACUGAGACACGGUCCAGACUCCUACGGGAGGCAGCAGUGGGGAAUAUUGGACAAUGGGCGAAAGCCUGAUCCAGCCAUGCCGCGUGUGUGAAGAAGGUCUUCGGAUUGUAAAGCACUUUAAGUUGGGAGGAAGGGUUGUAGAUUAAUACUCUGCAAUUUUGACGUUACCGACAGAAUAAGCACCGGCUAACUCUGUGCCAGCAGCCGCGGUAAUACAGAGGGUGCAAGCGUUAAUCGGAAUUACUGGGCGUAAAGCGCGCGUAGGUGGUUCGUUAAGUUGGAUGUGAAAGCCCCGGGCUCAACCUGGGAACUGCAUUCAAAACUGUCGAGCUAGAGUAUGGUAGAGGGUGGUGGAAUUUCCUGUG
This 493-nucleotide ribosomal RNA is filed under the name Pseudomonas sp. BE3-2-35. RNAcentral's name for it is "bacterial SSU rRNA". It matches the Rfam family "Bacterial small subunit ribosomal RNA", at positions 201 to 675 of the family's 1533-position model. The record is from RNAcentral. Lineage: Bacteria; Pseudomonadati; Pseudomonadota; Gammaproteobacteria; Pseudomonadales; Pseudomonadaceae.